Long non-coding RNA from Condylura cristata (star-nosed mole), 3368 nucleotides. RefSeq lists it as uncharacterized. The record is from RefSeq and is a predicted model, not a curated record. Lineage: Eukaryota; Metazoa; Chordata; Mammalia; Eulipotyphla; Talpidae. The transcript has 8 exons.
AGUAGCCCAUAGCACCACACUCAGAUGAGGAUUUAGAACUGAUGGGACCAGUUUUCUGUGUUCUAUUAAAAGAAAGAAGCCAAGAUUCAUCAUUUUUGGGGGGUAUAAACUUUAGCAGUGAGUUGAUGCCUGAGAAAGUGGAUAACAUGCCAGCCUCUGGUAUACAAGCUGUUUGGUAGCGGAGAAAAUUUAGUAAGGAACUGCUGAAACAAAUCACUAGUUUCAGUGUGGCAGUUCUUUGUGAUCACUGAAAAAGGAUACUAUUCCUCUGAGAAGGAUGUCAAAAGAUCGGCUCAGCUCAGGGUGCAGUUUGCACUAGCUCCUUGGACAGCUGUAAGAAGAGUCUCUGGCUCUUUAGAAUACUGGGUGAAGUCUGAUCCGGGUUUGUACUCGUUCUCAAGAAGAAGGACGGGCCAGCAUCAGGCGGGUUGAAAGCCUGCGCUAGACAGCAUCCCAAGGACAUUCUCAAGUGAGGACUGCAAACAGCUCUAUGAAUGUCCCACAUUUAGCAGAUCUUUCAUUUUGAAAAUCUGGAUAAUCGCCAGUUAAUCUAAGAGGAUGACUUGCAGUCCACCUGCAGAAAAAAGAUCUCUCUCAGAAGAAUAGGCUUGUUGCUUUACAGUGUUAGUGACCUAGUCCCUUUGACGGUCCCUUGGUGGAGAUGGGGCAUGAGGAUCCUCCAGGGGAAAAGCUCACUAUCACUGGGCAACAAUCCUAAUCCAGGAGAGGAGGUUCUACCAAGAUUCUUCCUGGGCCAGGAGAGCAUGCACAUUGCCACCUUUGUGUUACUGGUUCUUGGGCAGAUCAUCAAUCUGGAGCCUCUGGUCUGCAAAGUCUCCCUUGUGGUCCUUGUAGAACUUUGCCAGUCAUUUACUUACUUCAAGAUGCUUUGGGAUGUCCUUGGGAUAAAAUACAGCAAAUUGCUUGGGAAGACAGAUGCCUCUCUUUAAGCCAUGAUGGAAGCUUCACAACUAUGAUUGGGAACCUGACCAGGCACAAAGUUAUAUUGCACCAGGCAAGAGCUAAAGAAACAGGACCCGGCAUGCCCUAGCUCUUGAUUGUUUCCUUCAUACCUACCAAAUCAUUAAUCCUGCUCAAAGGCAGGGCAGAGAGUAUGAAAUUUGAACACACCAAAAGAAGAUCAACACGCAUGGCACACUGAUGCUUUAAAAUAGCAGCAUGAACUUGUCUCUUUUGCAUCUUAACCUCUUCUGCUGAAUGUCUGCCUCCGCUUGCUAUCACUUUCACUCCUAAGUGUGUACUUCUUUGUCCAAGUCUUCCUUGAAUGUCUUGGUCUUUCUUCUCUGUCUAAAGUGUGUCUUAACCCAUUUCUCUGGUUCUCUUGCUAGUUUUUUUCCAAGUGUAUCUUUGUCUUACUGUCUUUUUUGUUCCUAAGAGUGAUCUGUGCCUUGUCUUAAGUGUCUUUCUCGUUUUCUCUUUUUUCCCCAUUUUUUGCUCAUUCUCUUUGCUUUCCUGUAUCUGCCUCUUUCACUCUUCAUCCCUUUGUGUCUCUGUGUCUCAUGCUGUGUGCUUUUUGCUUUCUUGUUCUGCCUACUUCACUUUUUCUCUUUGUUGCUCUGCUUGUUUGUAACCCCUCCCUUUCUUGUUGGUGUGACGUUUCACUUUCUUCUGGUUCUGGUCUCUCUUCUGUUGUUUUUCUUCCAUAGCUAAUAUUUCUCCGGCAUUUCCUUUCUGCCUCUUGGCUAUCUUCUUUCCUUUAUUCCUGCUUUGUGUGCCUCGUGGCUAUCUUCUUUCCUUUAUUUCUACUUUGUGUGUCUCAGUGUCUCUGCUCAUUGUGAAUUUCCAUUCUAGUGGUCGUCUGUCUGUUUUCUUGGAUCUUCUCUUUCCCUUUCUGCUCACCUUUGAGUGUUUCAGCUACUUCAUGAAUUUGUGUCUCUCCUUCUUUGUUUCAUACAAGCCUCACUCCUUGCAUAUUUUUUGUGCCUCUGUGUGCGCUUUUGUGUGCUUGUCUGUAUUCUUUGUGACAAAGGGGCCCCUAACCCCGCCUCUAUAGGUGCAGAGUGCCGGCUACCAAAACAAGUGUUGUGUAACUGAUAUUGAUGCCAGACUGUCCUUCUUGCAAGAUGCCCCACGACCAAAAGAAGGCCCAAAGGUCUCAACUGAAAGAAGAGCUAAGAUAGUAGCAGACUGGCCCAAUAGAAGACAGAUGUCUUAAAACUAUAGACUUAAGACCUGAAAACUGAAGUGGAAAGAUACAUGUCCCAAGAUAGAUGGAAAGCUCAGCUGUGAAGCCUUCCAAAAAAGAACCAAAAUGUACAGAAGUUGCUGCUUGUUGGACAGAUGACUUGAGUUGGAUGCAAACUGUCUUGAUUCAGAAGGCUCACAACUCUGAGGCUGAAGGCCUAAAACUGCAGACCCAUGGAAUGUUUGAAACUUAAGAUGUAUGCUUAAGACCUGACAUUAAACAGCUUUAGCUCGGAGAUCUGAGACCCUAGGACGGAAUGCCCGAGACACACACAGAAGGCUUUAAUUCAGCAUCUCUAGAUGAACAGAGGCUCAUGAGGUGGGAAAGCCCAUGACCUGGAAUAUAGGAAGAAUAAAAUCUCAAACCAGAAGAAAUCCCAAGAUCAGAACACUAAACUUCAGCUCUUUUCUGUUGCUGUACUGUUUGCUCUUGGUAGUUUUCUCAUUUUCCAGUUCUCAUAUUUCCAGCCCCCUAUUUUUGAUAUCUUUAGAUUUCUCACUAUGAUUCCUGGACCAUCUUAAACAUUUUUUACCGCAGUUCUGAGCCACUUAUCCACUUUUAAGUGUUCUUUAAACUUGCUUUCUCUUCAUCUCCAUUCUGUCUAAGAGAGGCAUGGGUGCCAUAUUUCAGUCCUCCCCUUUCCUCAAAAGUUCUAGGCUGAUGAUCAGAGGAAUGGCACCAGGUUGCUGGGGGGCAAAAAUACCAUGCUCUCUAGAAAAAACUUGAAGAGAUGUUCCAGGUCAGUUGGAAGAAUCAGAUAAGAAAUACACAGAUGUGCCAGCCUGCUGAGAGGUACCAACUACCACCUUACUUCUUUGAGCUUAGUUUCUGGCAUCUUAAGACUACCACUACUGAUAAAACAAGAAUAAGAGAACUUACUAUCAUCUGAUUUUGUGGCAUAAAUGAAGUUGUGAACAAAUCCGAUAUUAAAGGAAAGCUCUUCAUCGCUACCCUUCUACCUCAAAGAGAAUCUUAAACCAAAGUGCUUCGGUAAAUGAAAGACAUAUUUUGACUUAUGAACUGAUGGAAAAUGCAGACUCUGACCCUUCAGUGGUUUGAAGAUUGACCAGUCUUGCUCAGUAUUGGGACCUCCAAAGAGUAGUUUAAAGCCAUCUGCAUGUGACAACUAAGAAAAUGGGAGAGUUUGUUUUCCAAUGUUAAA